Molecule: ribosomal RNA, 399 nt
Filed under: Copelatus sp. MB5209
Lineage: Eukaryota; Metazoa; Arthropoda; Insecta; Coleoptera; Dytiscidae
Description: SSU rRNA
Rfam family: Eukaryotic small subunit ribosomal RNA
Source: RNAcentral
UUGAUCCUGCCAGUAGUCAUAUGCUUGUCUCAAAGAUUAAGCCAUGCAUGUCUCAGUACAAGCCACAUUAAGGUGAAACCGCGAAAGGCUCAUUAAAUCAGUUAUGGUUCCUUAGAUCGUACCCACAUUUACUUGGAUAACUGUGGUAAUUCUAGAGCUAAUACAUGCAAACAGAGUUCCGACCGGAGACGGGAGGAAUGCUUUUAUUAGAUCAAAACCAAUCGGCGGCGGGUGCGUUCGCGCGCGCGUUCGCCGCUCAACCUGGUGACUCUGAAUAACUUUCGGCUGAUCGCACGGUCCAGCACCGGCGACGCAUCUUUCAAAUGUCUGCCUUAUCAACUGUCGAUGGUAGGUUCUGCGCCUACCAUGGUCGUAACGGGUAACGGGGAAUCAGGGUUC